Phyllopteryx taeniolatus (common seadragon) is the source of this 535-nucleotide long non-coding RNA. RefSeq lists it as uncharacterized. The record is from RefSeq and is a predicted model, not a curated record. NCBI's taxonomy places the organism in Eukaryota, Metazoa, Chordata, Actinopteri, Syngnathiformes, Syngnathidae. The transcript is spliced from 3 exons.
AACGCGCGUCUUGUCAAGCGAUAUCUCCGCCAGCCUAUCGUGUUGCUCCCGGCGAUCCGUGCGAACCGGAUGCCCUCCCCUUUUUUUCUUGAGCCGCCGACGUAGACGUCAUGCGUGGAUUUCGGGCACCGGCGCUCAUUCGGUGUGGAGUUGCUCGCGGACGGAGGAGAGUGAGAAUAGUCUCUUGUGGAACGUGGAGGAGAUUGCCACAUUGUGCGCGUUUGGACUAUUGGCACUUCAUCCAGGGACCCAAAGAGGCAGGCAUGUCGGGGGCCCGCUAGCACAGACCACUUGGAAGGCGUGAAGGCCCUCACAGAUUAAUGCUGCUCGGGGAGUUGUGCCAUAAACCAUACACGGAUGUUGACUAACUUCCUACAGCUGAUGUCAAGACGUUGCUUCAACACAGAGUUCCACACAGCAAGAAUUCUUAACCACCAGUGAAUCGAUUACUAUGCCUAUUCCUAGUUUGAGGCAAUAAAAUUAUUUUGCAAGGAGUAAAGCUAGACUUUUUAUUCAUCCCACACACCCCCCCCCC